RNAcentral lists this long non-coding RNA (1230 nucleotides) under Setaria viridis. RNAcentral describes it as "long non-coding RNA (SVIR_LNC009510)". Lineage: Eukaryota; Viridiplantae; Streptophyta; Magnoliopsida; Poales; Poaceae. The record is from RNAcentral.
UUUUUGUGUUGAUCUUGAGUAUAGGUAUGCCGUACUAUCAAGAGGGAUGCAUCAUAUGGUCAUUUGACAAAGUCUUAGUGCUCAGGUUUCUUAUGUGAGUUGUUGAGAGACACAAAAGCCACACGAACACACUCUGUCGAGUCAAGCAGGGGCAAAAUCGAAAGCUCCAGUUUUAGAAAUAGGAAGUUCUAGUUUUGUGUGCCACGUGUCACUAACGGAUAGUCGGUUUGAAAAAUCAGAGGUUUCGGUUUUAGGAAACCCGUAGUUCCAGUUUUGGUUUGACACACUAACGACUAGUUUUUGAGGUGUGGUGUAUUUAUACCCCACGCCAUUCCUAGUUGCUAGCUGUUGCUUCUGAUGUUGCUUGUCUGCUUCCUGUUGUUCUAAGCUGAACUAAAGCCAAAAUAGCUCUCUCCAACCCCACUUUGUGAAGUUGAGUGAUCUUUGCUAGAUCUUGUGAGUUGGGUAGUAGAGAGGAGACAUUCGUGAGCAUUAGUAGAGCACUAAGUUCCUUGAGCACUUUUUUUCCUUGUCAAGUUUCAAGUGAAGCAUUUGUUACUCUUGGAGGUGUGCCUCCUAGACGGCUAGGUGUUGUUGGCUAGCUUCCAAAGGUGUGGUGAGCAGCGGCAAGUUUGUAAAGGCUACGAUCUUGAUUCCGCAAGGUAAAAGGUCAUCUAGUGGAAAUGAGGAAAUUGGUUGAAAGAGACCUGGCACAUUGGAAGGGAGUUGAGUAGAGUCGUAUUCCAAUUGGCUCCUCAACGUAGAUGUAGGAUUCAUAGUGGUGAAUCUGAACUUCGGUGAAACAAAGUCUCCUCACUGGUUUGAUCUCAUUUGCAUUCAUUAUUAAACUUUGGAAUUUGUUUGAUGUACUCGGAUGUUUUUGUCUAUGGAGUGUAGGAACUUUGUGAACCUGCUGAGAAACACCCUGAGAGCAUACUCUUCACGUUUGGUUUGAUAUCGAGCUUAGUUUCACCUCAUAGGUUUAGGGGUCUUCUCUGUCUGAGCAAAAACCGGAGGUUCUAGUUUUGGAAACCGAUGGUUCCGGUUUCUGGCAGAGAUAGUUUUUUUCCGCUGCAUAAGUGCCCUCUCCCAGCUCCAGAUAUUUUUGUAGAUUUCUUCAGAAAUUUCGUAGGUUGCUGAAUUUCCAAAACCAUCUCCAAAAAUACCGGAAGUCAUUGAUAAGCUAGUUUUAAGUUGCGAUAAUUUCAGGGUACACCUAUUCACCCCCCC